UAGGGAAUCUUCCACAAUGGACGCAAGUCUGAUGGAGCAACGCCGCGUGAGUGAAGAAGGUUUUCGGACCGUAAAGCUCUGUUGUUGGUGAAGAAGGAUAGAGGUAGUAACUGGCCUUUAUUUGACGGUAAUCAACCAGAAAGUCACGGCUAACUACGUGCCAGCAGCCGCGGUAAUACGUAGGUGGCAAGCGUUGUCCGGAUUUAUUGGGCGUAAAGCGAGCGCAGGCGGAAGAAUAAGUCUGAUGUGAAAGCCCUCGGCUUAACCGAGGAAUUGCAUCGGAAACUGUUUUUCUUGAGUGC
This 302-nucleotide ribosomal RNA is filed under the name uncultured bacterium. Its description in RNAcentral is "partial 16S ribosomal RNA". It matches the Rfam family "Bacterial small subunit ribosomal RNA", at positions 355 to 649 of the family's 1533-position model. The record is from RNAcentral.